GAUGAACGCUGGCGGCGUGCCUAAUACAUGCAAGUCGAACGGACGGACGCGGAGCUUGCUUCUCUGAUGUUAGCGGCGGACGGGUGAGUAACACGUGUAUCACCUACCUGUAUGACUGGGAUAACUUCGGGAAACGGGAGCUAAUACCGGAUGAUAUUUUGCACCGCGUGGUUCAAAGGUGAAUGACGGUCUUGCUGUCACUAAUAGCUGGAUCCGGGCUGGAUUAGCUAGUUGGUAAGGUAACGGCUUAGCACGGCAAGGAUGCAUGGCCGAACUCAUAGGGGGAUCGGCCACCUGGGAGCUGAGACACGGUCCAGACUACUGCGGGAGGCAGCAGAAGGGAAUGUUCCGCAAUGGGCGAGAGCAUGACGGAGCAAGGGCGCGUGAGUGAUGGAGGUCUCCGGAUCGUAAAAACCUGCUACGAGGGAAGAACAUAUUUGUAAGUAACUGUGGACAGCUUGACGGUAACGAAUCAGGAAGCACCGGCUAACUACGUG
RNAcentral lists this ribosomal RNA (497 nucleotides) under uncultured bacterium. Its description in RNAcentral is "partial 16S ribosomal RNA". It matches the Rfam family "Bacterial small subunit ribosomal RNA", at positions 28 to 507 of the family's 1533-position model. The record is from RNAcentral.